This is a long non-coding RNA of Suricata suricatta (meerkat), 1627 nucleotides long. RefSeq lists it as uncharacterized. Lineage: Eukaryota; Metazoa; Chordata; Mammalia; Carnivora; Herpestidae. The record is from RefSeq and is a predicted model, not a curated record. The transcript has 2 exons.
UGCCUGCUGUGUCCUUGGCAUCAGGAAAGGGUUCUCACAGGGCUGUCACCACCCUCAGCCCUCCCGCUGAGGUCCUGCUGGCUUUGGCCCCCGGCCUGGUGGUGGCAGCCAAUUCCGUGCAGGUCUGCAGCCCCUCCUCGCUCUACCCCCAGCCCCAGGCGGCCACUCGUUUACCUGUGUCUCCUCGCUGUGUCUCUUCGGGACAGUUCAGAUACCCAGAGUGCACGUGAGCCCGGCUCCUCCCACUGACCCGAUGCUUUCCAGGCCAUCACUGUCGGAGCAAACGCAGCGCCGCCUUCCUUUCUGUGGCUGAGUAGUUUCCGCCGACUUGUGUCCCUGGCUGGUGCCGUCGGGCUGUGCGCGGCCGCGGAUAGUCCUGCUCUGCAGAUUCACGAGCGUGUUUUUGUGCGGCCGGCGGUUUUCAUUUCUCGUGGGUGUAUCGGCAGGAGCUGGACCGCGGCGUCAUCUGCUAACACUGCGGUCAGCUCUUCCAGGCUCCAUUGACUUUUCCAGAGUGUCUGCAGUUCCGCGCCCACCUGUCCCGCGGGAGGCUGACCUCGUGGGCACCCGCACUGGCGCCCAUUGUCGCCUGAGGUUUUAUCAACAGUGUGUUUGUCCUUAGGGUGCGCAUACAGUGCUCCCACCUCCCUCGAGACCCAGACGGUCCCUCUCUUUGAGGCCGAGCCCCCAGUGUGACUCACAGCAGGCUCUUUUAUUCCAUUCAACGUGAGAUGCAUGGAGAUUGUCAUUUGCGUUUAAUUUUAUAGUUACAUGAAAUAUUUGCAUGGUUCCCAGUCAAAUCUAUGUUAUAAGAUAUACCCAGAGAAGUCUCUCUUUGCCUUGUUCUUCCUGAAGGCAACAGUUUUAUUUAUUUAUUUUUUUACGAUUUACCUUUCAAUUUAAAAAUAUAAGCACAGAUCAACACGCACAUUUUCCCCUCCCAUUCUUGGGCCACGGGCCUCAUCCAGCAAGCGGGGUCCUCCGCCUUGCUGUCCUGGCCUUCUAGCCUGGAGGCCUGUCCAUCGUGGUUUCUGGAGAUGUGCCCACUUCCCCCGAGUCGUGUGGUCCCCGCGAGGCUGGGCCGGCGUGGCCUCAGACCCGUCCUGUUGCCGGCCUCGGGUUGCGCCGGGCCCUGCCGUCACGGACGGGGCGAACAUCUCCUCCUAAUUUUGAGAUGCAAGCCUUCCUUCCUCGCCCGUGUCCAAAGGCGUGAAUCAUUGUCACAACCCUCUGGGUGGCUUUCUUCCUGCAGCACAGAGCUGGUUGGUGAGCAGAUACCUUUUGUUGCCAGGAUGAUAGGCGAUCACCAGGAAUUCUCCGGCAGGGAAAAGUGAGGAGCAUUUUAAAGGAAGCUUGUUUUUCCCUGUCUAGACUCACCUCACUGUUCCAGAACCUUCCAUGCUCUUGAAGCCUGAAUAAGUCACUUGUCUACAACGUGGACGCUUGGCCUGCCUCAGGUCUGGUUUGUCCUUCCUGCAGACACGGACUAGAGUAUUUCCACCCUCUGCCUUCUCUAAAACGUAACAUGGGCUCUCUUUUUUCUCAUAAACGUGUCCCUGUUCAUUGUAGAAACUUUGAAAACAUAAGGAAGAAAAACAGAAGGAAAUAAAAAUCAUCCUAAAUCCCA